This 145-nucleotide non-coding RNA is filed under the name Candidatus Zhuqueibacterota. The record is from RNAcentral. Lineage: Bacteria; Pseudomonadati.
ACCACUUGCACGUCUGACAGUAAUUACCGUAUAGUGGCAGCAUUGCAUGGGGAAGGGGGUGAAAAUCCUCCACUGUGCCGCAACGGUAAUCCUGCACAUUUUGUGCCGGUAAGUCCGGAUACCAUGCAGUCAUAUUUGUUAACCU